AUUCCUACGGGAGGCAGCAGUGGGGAAUAUUGCACAAUGGGCGCAAGCCUGAUGCAGCGACGCCGCGUGAGGGAUGAAGGCCUUCGGGUUGUAAACCUCUUUCAGCAGGGAAGAAGCAGCCGGGUUUUCUUGGUUGUGACGGUACCUGCAGAAGAAGCACCGGCUAACUACGUGCCAGCAGCCGCGGUAAUACGUAGGGUGCAAGCGUUGUCCGGAAUUAUUGGGCGUAAAGAGCUUGUAGGUGGUUUGUCGCGUCUGUUGUGAAAUUUCGGGGCUCAACCCCGAACUUGCAGUGGAUACGGGCAGACUAGAGUGUGGUAGGGGAGACUGGAAUUCCUGGUGUAGCGGUGAAAUGCGCAGAUAUCAGGAGGAACACCGAUGGCGAAGGCAGGUCUCUGGGCCAUUACUGACACUGAGAAGCGAAAGCAUGGGGAGCGAACAGGAUUAGAUACCCUGGUAGUCCAUGCCGUAAACGGUGGGAACUAGGUGUGGGUCUCAUUCCACGAGAUCCGUGCCGCAGCUAACGCAUUAAGUUCCCCGCCUGGGGAGUACGGCCGCAAGGCUAAAACUCAAAGGAAUUGACGGGGGCCCGCACAAGCGGCGGAGCAUGCGGAUUAAUUCGAUGCAACGCGAAGAACCUUACCAAGGCUUGACAUGUGCCGGUAAAGUGCAGAGAUGUGCUCCCCGCAAGGUCGGUACACAGGUGGUGCAUGGUUGUCGUCAGCUCGUGUCGUGAGAUGUUGGGUUAAGUCCCGCAACGAGCGCAACCCUCGUUCUAUGUUGCCAGCGGGUUAUGCCGGGGACUCAUAGGAGACUGCCGGGGUCAACUCGGAGGAAGGUGGGGAUGACGUCAAAUCAUCAUGCCCCUUAUGUCUUGGGCUUCACGCAUGCUACAAUGGCCAGUACAAAGGGCUGCGAUACCGCAAGGUGGAGCGAAUCCCAAAAAACUGGUCUCAGUUCGGAUUGGGGUCUGCAACUCGACCCCAUGAAGUCGGAGUCGCUAGUAAUCGCAGAUCAGCAACGCUGCGGUGAAUACGUUCCCGGGCCUUGUACACACCGCC
Molecule: ribosomal RNA, 1061 nt
Filed under: uncultured Oryzihumus sp.
Lineage: Bacteria; Bacillati; Actinomycetota; Actinomycetes; Micrococcales; Intrasporangiaceae
Description: bacterial SSU rRNA
Rfam family: Bacterial small subunit ribosomal RNA
Source: RNAcentral